This 73-nucleotide transfer RNA is filed under the name Stegodyphus dumicola. RNAcentral describes it as "tRNA-Asn". It matches the Rfam family "tRNA". From Rfam's summary of the family: Transfer RNA (tRNA) molecules are approximately 80 nucleotides in length. Their secondary structure includes four short double-helical elements and three loops (D, anti-codon, and T loops). Lineage: Eukaryota; Metazoa; Arthropoda; Arachnida; Araneae; Eresidae. The record is from RNAcentral.
GCCUCCGUGGCGCAAUCGGCUAGCGCGUUCGGCUGUUAACCGAAAGGUUGGUGGUUCGACCCACCCGGGGGCG